RNAcentral lists this ribosomal RNA (271 nucleotides) under uncultured archaeon. RNAcentral's name for it is "partial 16S ribosomal RNA". It matches the Rfam family "Archaeal small subunit ribosomal RNA", at positions 477 to 747 of the family's 1478-position model. The record is from RNAcentral.
CGGCAGCCCGAGUGGUGAUCACUAUUAUUGGGUCUAAAGGGUCCGUAGCCGGUUUGAUCAGUCUUUUGGGAAAUCUGACAGCUUAACUGUUAGGCUUCCAAAGGAUACUGUCAGACUUGGGACCGGGAGAGGUAAGAGGUACUACAGGGGUAGGAGUGAAAUCUUGUAAUCCCUGUGGGACCACCAGUGGCGAGGGCGUCUUACCAGAACGGGUCCGACGGUGAGGGACGAAAGCUGGGGGCACGAACCGGAUUAGAUACCCGAGUAGUCC